AGUGAACGCUGGCGGUAGACCUAACACAUGCAAGUCGAACGGCAGCACAGUAAGAGCUUGCUCUUACGGGUGGCGAGUGGCGGACGGGUGAGGAAUACAUCGGAAUCUACUUUUUCGUGGGGGAUAACGUAGGGAAACUUACGCUAAUACCGCAUACGACCUACGGGUGAAAGCAGGGGAUCUUCGGACCUUGCGCGAUUGAAUGAGCCGAUGUCGGAUUAGCUAGUUGGCGGGGUAAAGGCCCACCAAGGCGACGAUCCGUAGCUGGUCUGAGAGGAUGAUCAGCCACACUGGAACUGAGACACGGUCCAGACUCCUACGGGAGGCAGCAGUGGGGAAUAUUGGACAAUGGGCGCAAGCCUGAUCCAGCCAUACCGCGUGGGUGAAGAAGGCCUUCGGGUUGUAAAGCCCUUUUGUUGGGAAAGAAAAGCAGCAGGUUAAUACCCCGCUGUUCUGACGGUACCCAAAAAAUAAGCACCGGCUAACUUCGUG
Molecule: ribosomal RNA, 492 nt
Filed under: uncultured bacterium
Lineage: Bacteria
Description: partial 16S ribosomal RNA
Rfam family: Bacterial small subunit ribosomal RNA
Source: RNAcentral